GAGGGUAUACCUCAGUGGUAGAGGGUGUGUCCAACAUGCACAAGAUUCUGGGUUCAAUCCCCAGUACUUCCA
Molecule: transfer RNA, 72 nt
Organism: Camelus ferus (Wild Bactrian camel)
Lineage: Eukaryota; Metazoa; Chordata; Mammalia; Artiodactyla; Camelidae
Rfam family: tRNA
About the family: Transfer RNA (tRNA) molecules are approximately 80 nucleotides in length.
Source: Rfam